Molecule: non-coding RNA, 220 nt
Organism: Coffea arabica (coffee)
Lineage: Eukaryota; Viridiplantae; Streptophyta; Magnoliopsida; Gentianales; Rubiaceae
Source: RefSeq, a predicted model, not a curated record
UACACCCUCAACAGAAACCAUUAACAAAAAACAAUUCUCCUUUCUCCUCUCCAUAGAUCGAUCAUGUCUUUGUGAUGUUGAACAGAAGAAGUACUCCACCAACUCUUUGCAAGAAAAGCUUAUUAUGCUGAUGCUAUUGGUCCUUGCUAUGGAAUUUCCAAAUAUUGUGAUGUUUUUUGGAUAUGUUGCUCAUUUUAGCUUUUUGGAAGAUUAGCAGCAA